GUGGAGACUAACUAUGAAAUGCUUACUGACAGAGACUUACCAACAAAGCGGCCGCGUAGCCUAGUGGUUAGAGUGUAGGGGCGGCAGCGUAGCCUAGUAGUUAGAGUGUAGGGGCGGCAGCGUGGCCUAGUGGAUAGAGUGUAGGGGCGGCAGGUAGCCUAGUGGUUAGAGUGGAGGGGCGGCAGGUAGCCUAGUGGUUAGAGUGGAGGGGCGGCAACGUAGCCUAGUGGUUAGAGUGUAGGGACAGGCAGGUAGCCUAUUGGUUAGAGUGGAGGGGCAGCAGCGUAGCCUAGUGGCUAGAGUGUAGGGGCGGCAGCGUAACCUAGUGGUUAGAGUGUAGGGGCGGCAGGUAGCCUAGUGGUUAGAGUGGAGGGGCGGCAGGUAGCCUAGUGGUUAGAGUGGAGGGGCGGCAGGGUAGCCUAGUGGUUAGAGUGUAGGGGCGGCAGCGUAGCCUAGUGGUUAGAGUGUAGGGGCGGCAGCGUAGCCUAGUGGUUAGAGUGUAGGGGCGGCAGGGUAGCCUAGUGGUUAGAGUGUAGGGGCGGCAGGGUAGCCUAGUGGUUAGAGUGUAGGGGUGGCAGCGUAGCCUAGUGGUUAGAGUGUAGGGACAGGCAGGUAGCCUAGUGGUUAGAGUGGAGGGGCGGCAGGUAGCCUAGUGGUUAGAGUGGUGGGGCGGCAGGUAGCCUAGUGGUUAGAGUGUAGGGGUG
Oncorhynchus tshawytscha (Chinook salmon) is the source of this 704-nucleotide long non-coding RNA. The record is from Ensembl. NCBI's taxonomy places the organism in Eukaryota, Metazoa, Chordata, Actinopteri, Salmoniformes, Salmonidae.